This 30-nucleotide non-coding RNA is filed under the name Rattus norvegicus (Norway rat). Lineage: Eukaryota; Metazoa; Chordata; Mammalia; Rodentia; Muridae. The record is from RNAcentral.
UAGGAUAAAUGACUGCUUCCUUCUGCCUCU